RNAcentral lists this ribosomal RNA (253 nucleotides) under uncultured bacterium. RNAcentral describes it as "partial 16S ribosomal RNA". It matches the Rfam family "Bacterial small subunit ribosomal RNA", at positions 524 to 776 of the family's 1533-position model. The record is from RNAcentral.
UACGAACCGUGCGAACGUUGUUCGGAAUCACUGGGCUUAAAGGGCGCGUAGGCGGGCGGUCAAGUCAGGGGUGAAAUCCCACGGCUCAACCGUGGAAGUGCCUUUGAUACUGGCCGCCUCGAGGGAGGUAGGGGCGUGCGGAACUUCCGGUGGAGCGGUGAAAUGCGUAGAUAUCGGAAGGAACACCGGUGGCGAAAGCGGCGCGCUGGACCUUUACUGACGCUGAGGCGCGAAAGCCAGGGGAGCAAACGGG